GCGUGCGUUUCGUACSCGGUUGUCGAUUUGAUAUUACUGCCGUCGUCUCGUAAUGAGCGCGGACGUCGCGACCCGUUCGGCGUUGGCUUUAAGACUCUGCGCGUUUAUUUAACGUUCGCCGUGCCGGGUGCGCUUUCGAGGUUCUCUCCUCGGGAGAGGCGCUCGGUUACGGCGAGGGCGUGAGUUUCUGGCCAACUUUGUCGGACGGUAGGUAAACGGUGGCUAUCGGCACCGUGCGCGUGUAAGCGCGCACGAUGCUCGACGCCAGUCAGCGACGAAUCUUCGGGCCUCUUUCCGACCCGUCUUGAAACACGGACCAAGGAGUCUAACGUGCGCGCGAGUCGUUGGGUGUCGAGUGCGGUGUCAAAAGCCGCGCUCGUUAUAAUACGAAACCCGUUGUUUUAAAAAACGAAGGCGUAAUGAAAGUGAAUCCCGAACGCGCGCGCACGGGGAUUAAUCGUUCCCGUGUGCGUGUGUGGGGGAAGAUGGCGUUCCGAGUACACGUUUCUCGGUCGCAUGGUACCGAGGCCGGACGUCCGCAUUCCCGGGGCGUUCCAAUAGUACGCCGUCGAUGUCUGUGCCGCGUGUAACAACGCGCGGUGUCGGUCGACGACGAACUGGGGCGCACCUAUAGCGUGCACGUUGGUACCCGAAAGAUGGUGAACUAUGCCCGGCCAGGAUGAAGUCAGGGGA
This 693-nucleotide ribosomal RNA is filed under the name Tachardina africana. Its description in RNAcentral is "eukaryotic LSU rRNA". It matches the Rfam family "Eukaryotic large subunit ribosomal RNA", at positions 547 to 859 of the family's 3401-position model. Lineage: Eukaryota; Metazoa; Arthropoda; Insecta; Hemiptera; Tachardiidae. The record is from RNAcentral.